AGAGUGCGAUUCACUGAGUGUUCCGGGAGAUGAUAGGAAACUCUGUUUACCUUAUCUUCUGAUUUCUCCUCAGGAACCUCCAGGCUGAAGGGAGAGCACAACAUCAACAGAGCCUGGUGUUAGGCUGGUGGGAGGAGAGAGUCACUGUGCAGGAGACCUGGAGGUGGAACAUCAGGGAGAAUGGAAACCAGUGUUGGGCUUUACCUCUCUCUGGACCCUGAAGACAGCAGGACUCGCCUGCAGAGAGCUCGACUGUGGCUCUGCUGUUUCUGUGGGAUGGAGAGUGGAGUCCUCA
Molecule: long non-coding RNA, 295 nt
Organism: Notothenia coriiceps (black rockcod)
Lineage: Eukaryota; Metazoa; Chordata; Actinopteri; Perciformes; Nototheniidae
Exons: 2
Source: RefSeq, a predicted model, not a curated record